UACGUAGGCAGCGAGCGUUGUCCGGAAUCAUUGGGCGUAAAGAGCGUGUAGGCGGCUCGGUAAGUCCGCUGUGAAAGUCCAGGGCUCAACCCUGGAAUGCCGGUGGAAACUGUCGGGCUAGAGUCCGGAAGAGGCGAGUGGAAUUCCUGGUGUAGCGGUGAAAUGCGCAGAUAUCAGGAGGAACACCAAUGGCGAAGGCAGCUCGCUGGGACGGUACUGACGCUGAGACGCGAAAGCGUGGGGAGCAAACAGG
RNAcentral lists this ribosomal RNA (253 nucleotides) under uncultured bacterium. RNAcentral's name for it is "partial 16S ribosomal RNA". It matches the Rfam family "Bacterial small subunit ribosomal RNA", at positions 524 to 776 of the family's 1533-position model. The record is from RNAcentral.